GGGGAGGGGCACGACCCCUGACUCCGAGCCCCCGGGGCAGGGAGGACGCAGAAGCGAAAGUUGUACAUGUGGGUGCACGUGUAAUUAAAUACGAAUAUAUAUACACACACACCCAAGAUACGUGUGUGUCUAUAUAUAUAUCUAUAUAUAUAUAUAGAUAUAGACACACACACACUAGGAAAUGCGUGUGUACACAUGGUAUCCGAUGCGUGACCUCCCGUCGCUUGGCCCCAAUCCCGUCCUCGUCUCGUGACAAGAAAGGCCCCCCUCGCGGUCUGUGGGUACAACCCUCCUGCCCAACCUCAGCCCCACUGCAUUGCCCCUCGGGGCUCGCUGAGCACAAAUAUAAACGACCCUCGUCUCUAAUUUUUAAUGGGCCCGAGACCGUCCCCCUCUUCCUGUCCCAGCAGCCACCUCCUCACCUCACCCCCGGCGCAGCCUCUGGGUGGAAACCAAGCGUCUGAAAUGGCAAUCGGGGACCGCCGUUCGGGGGCCGUGCAAGACGGCUGCAGUUUGCGAGCUGCCUCUUCAGACAAUUACAUCGUGUCCAGUCACGGUCUCGAUGGGUUUAAGUGAAUCCCAAGAUGGCCAGAAUUACUCUGUGCAUAGACAGGGAUUGGAAAGCAUAGUAAUGCAAAUUUAAAAUGUCUCUAUGUGACAAAUUUGUUUGAAAAGCUAUCCAGGAACACAGAAGACAAAUAUGUAUAUAUUCUAAAGAAUGUUUUGGGGUUUUUUUGGUAUUAAAAAUCCAACAGUAUUUUGUCCAAGCCUGUUUCUCUCUACCCCUCAGUGUCACAACUAUCCAGAUUUCUCUAAGGGAACUAGAUCCUCUAGUUUUCAGUAAAAUAAAUGAACUUUUAUCUUAA
Long non-coding RNA from Alligator mississippiensis (American alligator), 866 nucleotides. RefSeq lists it as uncharacterized. The transcript is spliced from 2 exons. The record is from RefSeq and is a predicted model, not a curated record. NCBI's taxonomy places the organism in Eukaryota, Metazoa, Chordata, Crocodylia, Alligatoridae.